This 253-nucleotide ribosomal RNA is filed under the name uncultured bacterium. RNAcentral's name for it is "partial 16S ribosomal RNA". It matches the Rfam family "Bacterial small subunit ribosomal RNA", at positions 524 to 776 of the family's 1533-position model. The record is from RNAcentral.
UACGCAGGGUGCUAGCGUUGCUCGGAAUCACUGGGCGUAAAGGGUGCGUAGGCGGGUUUUUACGUCCGAGGUGAAAUCCUGGAGCUCAACUCCAGAACUGCCUUUGAUACUGAAAGUCUUGAGUAUGGGAGAGGUGAGUGGAACUGCGAGUGUAGAGGUGAAAUUCGUAGAUAUUCGCAAGAACACCAGUGGCGAAGGCGGCUCACUGGCCCAGAACUGACGCUGAGGCACGAAAGCGUGGGGAGCAAACAGG